RNAcentral lists this transfer RNA (79 nucleotides) under Acrocarpospora pleiomorpha. RNAcentral's name for it is "tRNA-Leu". Lineage: Bacteria; Bacillati; Actinomycetota; Actinomycetes; Streptosporangiales; Streptosporangiaceae. The record is from RNAcentral. RNAcentral also lists the same sequence under 1 other name.
GGCCUGCUGGUCGGCGGCUACCACGGCAAGUGGCUGAGCGCCGCCGACGCGUACGGCGCGAUCGUCUCGCGGCGGGGCA